Molecule: ribosomal RNA, 254 nt
Filed under: uncultured bacterium
Lineage: Bacteria
Description: partial 16S ribosomal RNA
Rfam family: Bacterial small subunit ribosomal RNA
Source: RNAcentral
UACGUAGGUGGCAAGCGUUGUCCGGAUUUACUGGGCGUAAAGGGCGCGUAGGCGGCCACCGCAAGUCGACUGUGAAAUCUCCGGGCUUAACCCGGAAAGGUCAGCCGAUACUGCGGGGCUAGAGUGCAGAAGGGGCAACUGGAAUUCUCGGUGUAGCGGUGAAAUGCGUAGAUAUCGAGAGGAACACCUGCGGCGAAGGCGGGUUGCUGGGCUGACACUGACGCUGAGGCGCGAAAGCUAGGGGAGCGAACGGG